CCUUGCGCUGACGGGACCCUGGGUUCUGCCCGCUCCCAAGAGGGCUUGGUGAAGCCCCUCCAGCAGCACCUCCAGCCGCUGCGGGUGCCGACCUGCCACCAGGUGGCUUUCGCCUCACAGAGCUUCCCCACCCACCCCGGGACUCGGGACGCGGCCAGCAGACAGUCUGUCUCCGGUGUCCCCCGGGGGCCAGCUCUGCACCCGUCCCCGGGGCCGAAGGAUACGGGGUGUGGUGGGCACCGGCCAACACGUCUCCUGCUUCACCCGAGCGGCGUUCUCAAGUCUGAGCUCUUUGGAGCGUCUCCUCGUUCUUGAUUCUGCCCUCUUCUCUGGAGCCCUUCAUGGCGCUGAGCGGGACCAGGCACCUCACAGGGCUGCAUUUCUUGCGAGAGCACCUAGCCCUGUAGAUGCUGGCUCUGAGAACCAAGUACUGCGUGAACUGUCUGGCGGGGCAUCUGUUAGGAGGACCAAGCUGGGGAAGGGGGCCGUGGGCACACACACUGACCACGGUGAGCCAGGUGGAAAGACGUGUUUGUCCUGCCAAACCUUCAGACCAUCCAGAGGGUACCAACGGUGUUGUGGGUCCAAAGCAGAAGACUGAAGAUCUGCUGGGAACCGCCAGGGCUCUCUUACAGGCGAGGAUGCUGAGACCAGAGGACAGAGGUGGACAAUGAGAGAGGUCCACAUUGGCCAGAUGUAUUCGACUGACAAGCUUGUCAUUGAGAAUCAAGAGAAGCCCCGGGCCUAGGAGCUGGGACCAGCCUCCAACAGCAGCAUGGACCACCGGCAGCAUCUGUUCUGUUUGCCGCAGGGCCCCUAGCAGACCUCGAGGGGCCCCUGCAUCAGCUUUAAGUAGCCUCACUCUGCCUGCCCUCCAGGAACUGAUGAACUGAGCGAAGUGUCGCCUCUUCUGCAGCCUUAGUGACAGAGGUCGGCUGGAGCGCCUCGAGGGAAGGCCGUGUACAGUGGUGUCUCGUCCACCCCACCCCUCUCUGUGGCUCCGCAGCACCUGUAUAAAGCAUUUCCAGACAUGUUUCUCAGUCCUUGACAAUAAAUGAAAGCAUCUCCCUGGCCUUCUCUACCAGA
Molecule: non-coding RNA, 1086 nt
Organism: Odocoileus virginianus texanus
Lineage: Eukaryota; Metazoa; Chordata; Mammalia; Artiodactyla; Cervidae
Source: RefSeq, a predicted model, not a curated record